AACGAACGCUGGCGGCAGGCCUAACACAUGCAAGUCGAACGCACCGCAAGGUGAGUGGCGCACGGGUGAGUAACACGUGGGAAUGUACCCUUUGGUUCGGAAUAACGUUUGGAAACGAACGCUAAUACCGGAUGAGCCCUGCGGGGGAAAGAUUUAUCGCCAAAGGAGCAGCCCGCGUCUGAUUAGCUAGUUGGUGGGGUAAAGGCCUACCAAGGCGACGAUCAGUAGCUGGUCUGAGAGGAUGAUCAGCCACACUGGGACUGAGACACGGCCCAGACUCCUACGGGAGGCAGCAGUGGGGGAAUAUUGGACAAUGGGCGGCGAAGACCUCGAUCCAGCCAUGCCGCGUGAGUGAUGAAGG
RNAcentral lists this ribosomal RNA (361 nucleotides) under uncultured bacterium. Its description in RNAcentral is "bacterial SSU rRNA". It matches the Rfam family "Bacterial small subunit ribosomal RNA", at positions 29 to 414 of the family's 1533-position model. The record is from RNAcentral.